This 253-nucleotide ribosomal RNA is filed under the name uncultured bacterium. RNAcentral's name for it is "partial 16S ribosomal RNA". It matches the Rfam family "Bacterial small subunit ribosomal RNA", at positions 524 to 776 of the family's 1533-position model. RNAcentral also lists the same sequence under 1 other name. The record is from RNAcentral.
UACGGAGGAUCCAAGCGUUAUCCGGAUUUAUUGGGUUUAAAGGGUGCGUAGGCGGCCAGUUAAGUCAGGGGUGAAAGACGGUAGCUCAACUAUCGCAGUGCCUUUGAUACUGAUUGGCUUGAAUGUACUUGAGGUAGGCGGAAUGUGACAAGUAGCGGUGAAAUGCAUAGAUAUGUCACAGAACACCAAUUGCGAAGGCAGCUUACUAAAGUAUGAUUGACGCUGAGGCACGAAAGCGUGGGGAUCAAACAGG